AAGAAAAAAACCCUGCAAAAGCAGGGCCCUUCUUACACUAGUAACAUGUACUAGCAAGAAGGCAAAGGGAGAGGAGAAACCGGAGGAAGAACUUAUGGGGAAACGUAAGUCUUCUCCGCGG
Molecule: regulatory RNA element, 121 nt
Organism: Bacillus manliponensis
Lineage: Bacteria; Bacillati; Bacillota; Bacilli; Caryophanales; Bacillaceae
Rfam family: ylbH leader
About the family: This family is a putative regulatory RNA structure that is found upstream of the ylbH gene in B. subtilis and related low GC Gram-positive bacteria.
Source: Rfam